RNAcentral lists this ribosomal RNA (468 nucleotides) under uncultured bacterium. RNAcentral's name for it is "partial 16S ribosomal RNA". It matches the Rfam family "Bacterial small subunit ribosomal RNA", at positions 28 to 507 of the family's 1533-position model. The record is from RNAcentral.
GACGAACGCUGGCGGCGUGCUUAACACAUGCGAGUCGAACGGAAAGGCCCUGCUUUUGUGGGGUGCUCGAGUGGCGAACGGGUGAGUAACACGUGAGUAACCUGCCCUUGACUUUGGGAUAACUUCAGGAAACUGGGGCUAAUACCGGAUAGGAGCUCCUGCUGCAUGGUGGGGGUUGGAAAGUUUCGGCGGUUGGGGAUGGACUCGCGGCUUAUCAGCUUGUUGGUGGGGUAGUGGCUUACCAAGGCUUUGACGGGUAGCCGGCCUGAGAGGGUGACCGGCCACAUUGGGACUGAGAUACGGCCCAGACUCUUACGGGAGGCAGCAGUGGGGAAUAUUGCACAAUGGGCGGAAGCCUGAUGCAGCAACGCCGCGUGCGGGAUGACGGCCUUCGGGUUGUAAACCGCUUUCGCCUGUGACGAAGCGUGAGUGACGGUAAUGGGUAAAGAAGCACCGGCUAACUACGUG